ACUGAAGACAGACUAUUUGUAUUUCUUAUUUAAAAAUGUCCACAACACUGGCAAUGAAACAAAAUACAAUUGCAUAUGACAUAAUUUUUAUAAAAUUAUUUUUAAUGCUAGGUCAAAUGAAUUGUUCAUUCAUCCUCUCUCUGACCAACCAAUAUUUAUAGACCAUUUCCUUUGUGCAAAAAGCUGUACUGAGAAUCCAAAAAGGUAUAUAUCUGAUCUCUGCCGCCAAUUAGUUUACAACAGAACUGCUGGGGAAAGAAGAGGUGGAGCAGAGUGCCUGCCAGAUCUGGAGUACAGAAGAGGAUAAAGCCCUGGAGUCAGAGAGCCACAUGAGAGAAGGAGCUUGGGCCCGGAAUCAUUGUCGGAGCAGAGCAUACCACCCUCAAUCCACAUCAGACUGACACGAACAAGAAAAACUUCCUUUGGCAAAGCAUUGCAGGCACGUGGUGAGCACAGGAAAAAACUGACCAAUCUUCAAAGAGAAAUGGAAAGCAAUGAAGACAUCUCAGAAAUUUGAGGUUUUGAAGUGUUAGGGAAAAAAAAUUGCUUCUAGACCCCAGACAGUAAGAAGCAAAAUUGAAAAAAGCUCGAACAAAGGCCCAGUAAAUUUUCUCAGUUGUAUAAAGUCACUUAGAUUGAACAUGAAA
This is a long non-coding RNA of Pan troglodytes (chimpanzee), 647 nucleotides long. RefSeq lists it as uncharacterized. The transcript is spliced from 2 exons. The record is from RefSeq and is a predicted model, not a curated record. Lineage: Eukaryota; Metazoa; Chordata; Mammalia; Primates; Hominidae.